Molecule: ribosomal RNA, 393 nt
Filed under: uncultured Geobacteraceae bacterium
Lineage: Bacteria; Pseudomonadati; Thermodesulfobacteriota; Desulfuromonadia; Geobacterales; Geobacteraceae
Description: partial 16S ribosomal RNA
Rfam family: Bacterial small subunit ribosomal RNA
Source: RNAcentral
GAGUUUGAUCCUGGCUCAGAACGAACGCUGGCGGCGUGCUUAACACAUGCAAGUCGAACGUGAUCCGGAGCUUGCUCCGGUGAAAGUGGCGCACGGGUGAGUAACGCGUGGAUAACCUGCCCUGGUGUCUGGGAUAACAUCUCGAAAGGGGUGCUAAUACCGGAUAAGCCUACGGGCUCUUCGGAGUCUGCAGGAAAAGGAGGCCUCUAUUUAUAAGCUUCCGUAUCAUGAUGGGUCCSCGUACCAUUAACUAKUUGGUGGGGUAAUGGCCUAYCAAGGCKACGAUGGUUAGCUGGUCUGAGAGGAUGAUCAKYCMCACUGGAACUGAGACACGGUCCAGACUCCUACGGGAGGCAGCAGUGGGGAAUUUUGCKCAAUGGGGGAAACCCUGAC